CUUCCACAGUAUCAAUUGGAGGCCAAGUCUGGUGCCAGCAGCCGCGGUAAUUCCAGCUCCAAUAGCGUAUAUUAAAAUUGUUGCAGUUAAAAAGCUCGUAGUUGAAUUUCUGCUGCAUUGCUUGUGUCCCUCUGGGGUCUGUGCAUGUGGCUUUUUUCGGACGGAGUUUCUUUGUCUGAAUGUUUACUUUGAGAAAAUUAGAGUGCUCAAAGCAGGCUUUCGCCUUGAAUAGUUUAGCAUGGAAUAAUAAAGUAGGACUUUGGUUCUAUUUUGUUGGUUUUAGGUACCAAAGUAAUGGUUAAUAGGAACAGUUGGGGGCAUUCGUAUUUAACUGUCAGAGGUGAAAUUCUUA
RNAcentral lists this ribosomal RNA (352 nucleotides) under Theileria annulata. RNAcentral describes it as "SSU rRNA". It matches the Rfam family "Eukaryotic small subunit ribosomal RNA", at positions 533 to 922 of the family's 1831-position model. Lineage: Eukaryota; Apicomplexa; Aconoidasida; Piroplasmida; Theileriidae. The record is from RNAcentral.